Molecule: ribosomal RNA, 369 nt
Filed under: unidentified archaeon
Lineage: Archaea
Description: bacterial SSU rRNA
Rfam family: Archaeal small subunit ribosomal RNA
Source: RNAcentral
UCAGGUAAGCACGUAGUCAACAUGCCCAGAUGGACGUGGAUAACCUCGGGAAACUGAGGAUAAACCGCGAUAGGUCAUAAUAUCUGGAAUGAUUUAUGGCUUAAAUCUAUAUGGCCUCUGGAUUGGACUGCGGCCGAUCAGGCUGUUGGUGAGGUAAUGGCCCACCGAAGACCUAAAACCGGUACGGGCUCUGAGAGGAGAAGCCCGGAGAUGGGCACUGAGACAAGGGCCCAGGCCCUAUGGGGCGCAGCAGGCGCGAAAACUCUGCAAUAAGCGAAAGCUUGACAGGGUUAUUCUGAGUGAUUUCCGCUAAGGAAAUCUUUUUGGCACCUCUAAAAAUGGUGCAGAAUAAGGGGUGGGCAAGCCUGG